This is a long non-coding RNA of Megachile rotundata (alfalfa leafcutting bee), 178 nucleotides long. NCBI's taxonomy places the organism in Eukaryota, Metazoa, Arthropoda, Insecta, Hymenoptera, Megachilidae. The record is from RefSeq and is a predicted model, not a curated record.
GUAUCAUGAUUUUUUUUAAAAUCGGCCAAACAUUGGUACACAAAUAAAGUACAACACAGGUGAAAAAAGGAAAUGUAGAAAAAGGAACGCAAUUGUUUCAAACAAUAGAGACAACCGUUUAAAAAACAGGUUACUCGUGUACAUAUUUUAUUGCAUUAAAUGAUACAAUAUCACGUAU